CUUUUUUUUAUAAAUUUUCAAAAAAUUACAUUAAAAUAUGAAAUUUUAAUUCAAUAUAAAAAAUAUUAGAAAAAAUAAAAUAAAAUUAUCAUUUUCUAUAAUGGAAAAAAAUUGCAUAUGCUCAUCAUUUUAUUUUUUAAAUAAUUUUAAAAAAAUUAAAAUAAUUCAGCUAAAAAUAGAAAUAAAUAUGCGGAAAAAAAAUUGUAAGGUUUGAAGUGGGAUUCUCUCUUCUUUUUAAGUUCUCUGUUAACGGAGAGAGAGAGAGAAAGAGAGAUUUGAAGUGAGAUUCUCUCUCCUCUUUUAUUUCUCUGUUAACGGUGUUACUAGCUGCAUCCCACUUCUGACUUUUUUAUAAAACAAUCAUCUAAAAUUUUAAAAUUUGCGAAAUAACCCUCUCAAAAUUUUAUUUGGAAAACUAACCUUCCUUUCGCCACGUCGGCGCCACGUCAGAAUUUCUUUUAAAGGCGGUGAAUCGUUCCUCGCUUUCUUCUAUUUUUUUUAAAGGCGGUGAAUCGUUCCCCGCUUUCUCCCAUUUCUUUUAAAGACGGUGAAUUAUUUACCGCCUUUCACUUAUUUAAUGUUUCUUUCUAUAUCCCAUAUAUAAUUCUAACAACCAUAUAAAAAUUUUAACAAAUCACAUAUAAUCUUAACAACCUUUAAAUCCUAAUAAUUUAUCCAUAUAAUUUCAUACAAUCUUAACAGCCUGAAAUUCUAAUAAUCUAUCCAUACAAUCUUAAUAAUCAAAUAAAAAUUUUAAUGAUCCACAUAUAAUCCUAACAAUCUCACUUUUUUCUAUUUCCCAUAUAAUCCAUGCACAAUUUUAAUGAAUGUGGUGAACGAUUCACCGUAUUUAAAAGAAAUAGAAAAAAGCGGGAAACGAUUCAUUGCUUUUAAAAAGGAAUGGAAAAAAGCGAAAAAUGAUUCACCGCCUUUAAAAAAAAAGGGAGAAAACGGAAAACGAUUCACCGUCUUUGUAAGAAAAUCCUGACUUGGAGCCCACGUGGCGAAAGGAGAGUUAGUUUAACAAAUAAAAUUUUCACAGUGUCAUUUUGCCAAUUAUAGUUUUUUGGAGGGUCAUUUUAUAAAAAAACCCUCCCACUUCAUCCCACUUAUUCUCCCAAACCUGUGCACGAAUCUCAAAGAGGAUCCAAUGGUUUAAAACACUAUAGUAUAGGAGCUUCUAUACUAUUGAUAGUAUAGAAGCACAACUCUAUAUAUAUAUAUAUAUAUAUAUAUAUAUAUAUAUAUAGAGAGAGAGAGAGAGAGAGAGAGAGAGAGAGAGAGAGAGAGAGAGAGAGAGAGAGAGAGAGAGAGAGAGAGAGAGAGUGUGGGUAGAAUACUAUUGGUAGCAAAAGAGCUCCGUUGCCACCCAUUUAUUUUCGAUAAUGGAGCCUCUAAAUCGAUGAUCGGCACCAUAGAAUAUGAUCUAUACCACUUGAAGUAUCUAGAAAUUAAAUUUAAUGCUUUUUCGAUAUUAUUCUCUUGUCCAUCAAGCGGAUGUAAAAAUGAACGGCUGAAAAUAAAUAUUCUUUAAAAAGUGAUGAUAGAAAUUUUGUGAUCAAAAUCGAGAGUAUAGAUCUUGUUCUAAAUAGUUUAAAUAAUUUUCUAAUCAAAAUUCAAUUGAUACAAAAAAAUGCCUAAUAUCUACCAUUAAAAUUAUAAAUUUUGAAACCCUUUGAUCAUUAGGUCAAUGAUGUCGAAAAGAUUUGAAAUUUGGUUUCUAAAUACUUCAAGUGGUAUAGAUCAUGUUCAACAAUUCUGAAAAAGUUAUUUAGUCAAAUAACUCUUCUUUUACCAACUCGGUACUGGAAUGAAUAUUUCUGUCAAAACCGAUGAAUCUUUCACCGCCUUCAAAAAGACGGUGAAUAAUUCGCCAUCUUCUAAACUUCUUCUUAAAGUGGUGAAUCGUUAACGAUAUUUUUGAAGGCGGUGAACGAUUUACUAUUUUUAAGAGAUUGAUUUCUAGAUGGCACGAUAAAUUCCUAAUAGAUACCACAAAUUUUAUUUAUAAUAAUCACUUUGUAUGAUAAAUUUUAAGUAGAUAUUUGCAAGGGUAUUUGGUAAAGGCAUUUGAUGGAGGACGACGCUUAGAGUGAUGACUACGAAUCUUUGUAAAAACUUAAAAGGAGUGUUUAAGAGAGUUCAUGUUUUGCUUAUCACAACUUUAAACGGGCGCGGAAAAACAUUGUUCAAUGAUUUGGGCUUGUUGAAUUUAAAAUAUCUACGGAAGAUUUGUUGUACAAAGUGAUUGUGUAAAUAAAAUUUAAGAUAAAGAUAGUGAACAAUUUACAGCUUUAUUAGAAAAUUUAAAAGUAAUAAAUUGUUUACUGUCUUUUUUUGAGGGCGUUGAACGAUUAACCUUUUUAACAAAAUUAUCUAUUUUGGCUUGAGUUUGAAAAAGAAGAAUUAUUUAAAAAGCUAAAGUUUUUAAAAUAUUAUUUAAUUAAUUAUAUAAUUUUAUAAAGUUAUUUGAAAA
RNAcentral lists this long non-coding RNA (2476 nucleotides) under Ananas comosus (pineapple). RNAcentral describes it as "long non-coding RNA (ACOM_LNC023148)". The record is from RNAcentral. Lineage: Eukaryota; Viridiplantae; Streptophyta; Magnoliopsida; Poales; Bromeliaceae.